This 465-nucleotide ribosomal RNA is filed under the name Vreelandella stevensii. RNAcentral's name for it is "partial 16S ribosomal RNA". It matches the Rfam family "Bacterial small subunit ribosomal RNA", at positions 338 to 795 of the family's 1533-position model. Lineage: Bacteria; Pseudomonadati; Pseudomonadota; Gammaproteobacteria; Oceanospirillales; Halomonadaceae. The record is from RNAcentral.
CCUACGGGGGGCAGCAGUGGGGAAUAUUGGACAAUGGGGGCAACCCUGAUCCAGCCAUGCCGCGUGUGUGAAGAAGGCCCUCGGGUUGUAAAGCACUUUCAGUGAGGAAGAACGCCUGGUGGUUAAUACCCAUCAGGAAAGACAUCACUCACAGAAGAAGCACCGGCUAACUCCGUGCCAGCAGCCGCGGUAAUACGGAGGGUGCGAGCGUUAAUCGGAAUUACUGGGCGUAAAGCGCGCGUAGGUGGCUUGAUAAGCCGGUUGUGAAAGCCCCGGGCUCAACCUGGGAACGGCAUCCGGAACUGUCAAGCUAGAGUGCAGGAGAGGAAGGUAGAAUUCCCGGUGUAGCGGUGAAAUGCGUAGAGAUCGGGAGGAAUACCAGUGGCGAAGGAGGCCUUCUGGACUGACACUGACACUGAGGUGCGGAAGCGUGGGUAGCAAACAGGAUUAGAUACCCGUGUAGUC